GCCCAGACUCCUACGGGAGGCAGCAGUGGGGAAUAUUGCGCAAUGGGCGAAAGCCUGACGCAGCGACGCCGCGUGAGGGAUGACGGCCUUCGGGUUGUAAACCUCUUUCAGCAGGGACGAAGCUCACGUGACGGUACCUGCAGAAGAAGCGCCGGCUAACUACG
This 164-nucleotide ribosomal RNA is filed under the name uncultured soil bacterium. RNAcentral's name for it is "partial 16S ribosomal RNA". It matches the Rfam family "Bacterial small subunit ribosomal RNA", at positions 329 to 505 of the family's 1533-position model. The record is from RNAcentral.